Molecule: transfer-messenger RNA, 376 nt
Filed under: Rhodoferax mekongensis
Lineage: Bacteria; Pseudomonadati; Pseudomonadota; Betaproteobacteria; Burkholderiales; Comamonadaceae
Rfam family: transfer-messenger RNA
About the family: Bacterial tmRNA, also known as 10Sa RNA or SsrA, is named for its dual tRNA and mRNA-like properties.
Source: RNAcentral
GGGGCUGCACUGGUUUCGACGUGGAUUGGAAUCGCUGUGGUGCAUGUCGAGCUGAAUGUGCUCGUAAAACAGAUUCAAACAAACUAACUGCAAACGACGAACGUUUCGCACUCGCUGCUUAAUAACCAGUGAGCCUUACAACGGCAGGCCGAUGGGCCGGGCAAGGGUGGCGCAAGCUGUCCAGGCUGUAAGGUCAUUUACAUCGGCUGGCUUUUUACCGGGUACCUUGGUGAGAGGCGAGAAAGUAGGGUACUGGCGUCCGGCAUAGCGUGCGACUGCGCGAUUCCGGUGGCGAGACUCAAAUCAGACCGCUAAACAUGUAGAUCUGCUCGAGGAAGUUUUGCGGACGGGGGUUCAAAUCCCCCCAGCUCCACCA